Molecule: ribosomal RNA, 320 nt
Filed under: Escherichia coli
Lineage: Bacteria; Pseudomonadati; Pseudomonadota; Gammaproteobacteria; Enterobacterales; Enterobacteriaceae
Description: partial 23S ribosomal RNA
Rfam family: Bacterial large subunit ribosomal RNA
Source: RNAcentral
AGUCGAUGGGAAACAGGUUAAUAUUCCUGUACUUGGUGUUACUGCGAAGGGGGGACGGAGAAGGCUAUGUUGGCCGGGCGACGGUUGUCCCGGUUUAAGCGUGUAGGCUGGUUUUCCAGGCAAAUCCGGAAAAUCAAGGCUGAGGCGUGAUGACGAGGCACUACGGUGCUGAAGCAACAAAUGCCCUGCUUCCAGGAAAAGCCUCUAAGCAUCAGGUAACAUCAAAUCGUACCCCAAACCGACACAGGUGGUCAGGUAGAGAAUACCAAGGCGCUUGAGAGAACUCGGGUGAAGGAACUAGGCAAAAUGGUGCCGUAACU